Molecule: ribosomal RNA, 497 nt
Filed under: uncultured bacterium
Lineage: Bacteria
Description: partial 16S ribosomal RNA
Rfam family: Bacterial small subunit ribosomal RNA
Source: RNAcentral
GAUGAACGCUGGCGGCGUGCCUAAUACAUGCAAGUCGAGCGAACAGACGAGGAGCUUGCUCCUCUGACGUUAGCGGCGGACGGGUGAGUAACACGUGGAUAACCUACCUAUAUGACUGGGAUAACUUCGGGAAACCGGAGCUAAUACCGGAUAAUAUAUUGAACCGCAUGGUUCAAUAGUGAAAGACGGUUUUGCUGUCACUUAUAGAUGGAUCCGCGCCGCAUUAGCUAGUUGGUAAGGUAACGGCUUACCAAGGCAACGAUGCGUAGCCGACCUGAGAGGGUGAUCGGCCACACUGGAACUGAGACACGGUCCAGACGACUACGGGAGGCAGCAGUAGGGAAUCUUCCGCAAUGGGCGAAAGCCUGACGGAGCAACGCCGCGUGAGUGAUGAAGGUCUUCGGAUCGUAAAACUCUGUUAUUAGGGAAGAACAAAUGUGUAAGUAACUAUGCACGUCUUGACGGUACCUAAUCAGAAAGCCACGGCUAACUACGUG